Molecule: non-coding RNA, 2028 nt
Organism: Anas platyrhynchos (mallard)
Lineage: Eukaryota; Metazoa; Chordata; Aves; Anseriformes; Anatidae
Source: RefSeq, a predicted model, not a curated record
GAAUGGGCAUUUUAUUCAUGAAAUAGUGGAAUAGAUUAUCGGAUUUGUUAUUAGUACCACAUCAAUAUGUGCAAACAUGCUGCUGUACUGACACGACAAUGAUAUCUGUGCGUAUUGUAGUAUCUGGGUAUACCUACGUUUCUGUAGAUUGCAGCUGGAAUCCCCUGACACACACUUGGGCAGUACGAUUUUGCGGUUGUCUGGGAAUCUGCCUACGUUUCUGCCUCCCAUUUUGCAGUGCAGAUACGAGGCCCUUGGCUGGAGGAUAUUUAUCUUCUGCAGACAGUUUAAAAAGAGAAAUGUACCGUCCAGAGCUUUCUGUUUUUCUCCUAAACACACCUGGCGUCCCCAGCCAAGCCCCGGCCUCCUGGCAGAGGAUGAGCAGGUUGUUCUCCUGCUUGGGGCAGACAUGAAAGGCAAACUCUGCCAUCCACCAACAAGUUACAAAGGCAGACGAAGAGACAGCAGAGCUCAGAUACACGAGGUGUGAGCGCUUGGGAGAGCGUUUCCCUUCCCUGCAGGGGAAGACAAAGCUCCAGGGACCCCUGGAGCAGCUCUUCCAGGUUCCCCUGGGCUCUCAGGACUGCCUAGCGCUUGGUGCUGCCGCAGAGCACCCUGGAUUUGGCCCCGCUGGUUUAGGAGGCAGGAGGUGCUGUUUGACACCUGCAGAGCCCGAAGCAUCACCCGCCUCUGGAAGAAGAUCAAUAUUGCAGUCGGGCUCAGCUGCCCACUUGCCUCCACAAGGACAAGGGAGAGAUUGGGAGCACGAGCUGGAUUCUCAUUGUUGCACCAAGAAAUCAUCGGCACUCACAGACAGACCAGAGGUGCACAGAUGCCCCCAAAACAUCAGGAUACAAUUUUGCAUGCCAGCUGCUCCAGAAAAGCCAUUUCCACAAGGGUUCUCCUGUAACUGUUUGGAUAAAAAAAUGCUUCCCAGCUGCACAGCCUGGCAGUGGAGGGUCCCUGGGGGUGGAAGGUGCCUGUGUCCCAACAUGCUGAUGGAGCACAGCACCGAGACAGCGCUGGAGGUGCUAUUGGAAAGACCCAUUUAGUAAUGUGGAAAAAGUUUCUUCAUUGUCAAAUUGACAAAGCAGCUUGGCACUGAGAUAAAGAGAAGCUGCCAUACCGACCAUUACCCGGCCGGGAUCGCCGUGCUCCCGUUUCCAUCACAGGCUGGACAAGCUGUGUCUUUAUGAGGAAACUCAAGCUUAAGAGCAGUGUCAGGGAUGUGGCAUGGACUUUUAAGAAAGAACAAGCAGUGCCAUGAAGUCUGUUCUUCCAGAAGUGGUCAUUCUGGGAAACGGCUCGUGGCAAGGGGCACUUACUCCUUUAACUCCUAAACAGCCGGAGGAACUAAAGAGGGUGAAAAUUCACAGGAAUCCUCCAGCCCUGAAGGUUUCCCCUCCCUGGUGGCAGCACGAUCUGCUCUGGAUUUCUCCUGAUGAAGAGCCCGGGGUCUCAAAGCACCCGAGGAACCUCCCAAGGAGCCUGUGGAGCUGUGUCAGGGCGCAGGACGGCUGAGCUGACAGAGUUGCAGUUUGUGAUAUCCCAUUAGCAAAGCCAGAGAAAUUCCCACAGCAGCGCUGAGCAUGCCUGCAGGCAAAGAGAUGCUUGCACCCACCAAGGCUGAGCAAGCACCCGUGGCCAGACGCAGCCAGAACACCACGAGCAAUUUCUGGGUGGUCGGCGUGCACGUACAAACAACGGGCCUUGGCUCGAGCUUUGAGGGCUGGAAAAAAAGUGGCUGGAUUUGCACCUAGCUGUGAAUAUAAGUGCCUCAAAGCACAACUGGUGAGCCUGUGUUCAAGGCGCUGGGGUGGGAGCUCUUGGCAGAGAUGCCAGCUCCUCCUGGGAGCGUUGGAGGAAGACGGAUGUACGCGAGACCAAACAGCCUCCUGUGGGCUGCGUUCAGCUCUAAGGAUCCGGGACUGAGUUAUUCAAAGGCACUUGGAACACCGAGUACGGAUUUUUUUUGUAAACUGUGUUGUGUUCAAAACGCCCUGCAAUAAACGUGUGCAGUAAUCAUUA